GCAAGUCGAGCGCUCACUUCGGUGGGAGCGGCGGACGGGUUAGUAACGCGUGGGAACGUACCCAGAUCUGCGGAAUAGCCUUUGGAAACGAAGAGUAAUACCGCAUACGCCCUUCGGGGGAAAGAUUUAUCGGAUUUGGAUCAACCCGCGUAAGAUUAGAUAGUUGGUGGGGUAAUGGCCUACCAAGUCUACGAUCUUUAGCUGGUUUGAGAGGAUGAUC
RNAcentral lists this ribosomal RNA (220 nucleotides) under uncultured bacterium. Its description in RNAcentral is "partial 16S ribosomal RNA". It matches the Rfam family "Bacterial small subunit ribosomal RNA", at positions 57 to 305 of the family's 1533-position model. The record is from RNAcentral.